CCAAACUUGGUCAUUUAGAGGAAGUAAAUGUCGUAACAAGGUUUCCGUAGGUAAGUAAACUCGAUUCCACGGCACCUCGACGUUUGAACGGUGGCUAACGAUUUCUUAGGUGAACCUGCGGAAGGAUCAUUAGUGAUUGGUCGAAAGACCUUAUCCCAUCCUCACACCUGUGCACUGUGGGCUUCGGCCCUACAAACGUAGUGUAUCGAACGUAUGCAUUUUAACAAACAAAACUUUCAACAACGGAUCUCUUGGCUCUCGCAUCGAUGAAGAACGCAGC
This 280-nucleotide unclassified non-coding RNA is filed under the name uncultured fungus. Its description in RNAcentral is "partial contains small subunit ribosomal RNA, internal transcribed spacer 1, and 5.8S ribosomal RNA". The stretch from base 1 to 132 matches the Rfam family "Eukaryotic small subunit ribosomal RNA", at positions 1759 to 1831 of the family's 1831-position model. Lineage: Eukaryota; Fungi. The record is from RNAcentral.